UACAGAGGUCUCAAGCGUUGUUCGGAUUCAUUGGGCGUAAAGGGUGCGUAGGUGGCGCGCUAAGUCAGGUGUGAAAUUUCGGAGCUUAACUCCGAAACUGCAUUUGAUACUGGUGUGCUUGAGGACUGGAGAGGAGACUGGAAUUCAUGGUGUAGCAGUGAAAUGCGUAGAGAUCAUGAGGAAGACCAGUGGCGAAGGCGGGUCUCUGGGCAUCUCCUGACGCUGAGGCGCGAAAGCGUGGGGAGCAAACGGG
Molecule: ribosomal RNA, 253 nt
Filed under: uncultured bacterium
Lineage: Bacteria
Description: partial 16S ribosomal RNA
Rfam family: Bacterial small subunit ribosomal RNA
Source: RNAcentral